UGUCAGCAGCCGCGGUAAUACAGAGGGUGCAAGCGUUAAUCGGAUUUACUGGGCGUAAAGCGCGCGUAGGCGGCUAAUUAAGUCAAAUGUGAAAUCCCCGAGCUUAACUUGGGAAUUGCAUUCGAUACUGGUUAGCUAGAGUGUGGGAGAGGAUGGUAGAAUUCCAGGUGUAGCGGUGAAAUGCGUAGAGAUCUGGAGGAAUACCGAUGGCGAAGGCAGCCGUCUGGCCUAACACUGACGCUGAGGUGCGAAAGCAUGGGGAGCAAACAGGAUUAGAUACCCUCGUAGUCC
RNAcentral lists this ribosomal RNA (291 nucleotides) under uncultured prokaryote. RNAcentral describes it as "partial 16S ribosomal RNA". It matches the Rfam family "Bacterial small subunit ribosomal RNA", at positions 506 to 796 of the family's 1533-position model. The record is from RNAcentral.